RNAcentral lists this long non-coding RNA (685 nucleotides) under Homo sapiens (human). RNAcentral describes it as "HLA complex group 27". Lineage: Eukaryota; Metazoa; Chordata; Mammalia; Primates; Hominidae. The record is from RNAcentral.
AUUUGAGCAGACUUGAAGAGGAGAGAAACUGAGACACGCAGGGCUUGUGGUCCCUGACAAGGAGGACCCUGAGGGCAACCACACCUUGCCAUGCAGAGCACCUGGCUUCUCAUCUGCCAAGCUCACUCUGACCCGGCUGCAGGAAGGGAAGGAGCCAACCCCGGACUCAAGACUCAAGGGGACCAGAACCAGGGAGAUGAGACAUACCAGGGCUGGGCAGCUGUGGGGGUCCUUCCAGAGAGGAGCUGAGAUACGCCUACCUGGAGGGGCCCCUGGGCCUGGAGGGGCUCCUCAGUGUGACUGGGUGAAGUGUUUUCAGAGGACCAGGGUUGAGGUUGGGGGCAUCUCAUCCAGACCCUGCCGGCAUCUGCCCCAGAACCCAAGGGCCCCUCCUUCCUCCCUCCUCAAUGGAAAUGCUGGAGAUGUCCUCAGUCACCCUCUGAGCACUCACACAUCACCCCUUAUUUGGAAAUUUUUCUCACUCUAACCUUCCUUCCUGCCGCACCUUCUGCCCCAUCCCCAGGCUCUGGCCUCUCUCUCUCCUCUUCUACCCUUUAGCAGGUAAUGACUCAGUUCCCACUGAGGAGCCAGCUGUAGGUGAGAGUUUGGGCUCUCGGUGAGGUUGGGAGAAGGAAAAGGCUUAUGGGCCAGGGGGUGGGAGGGAGAAUGGGCACAGCCAGAGCAG